GACGAACCGAGCGAACGUUGUUCGGAAUUACUGGGCGUAAAGGGCUCGUAGGCGGCCAACUAAGUCAUACGUGAAAUCCCUCGGCUUAACCGGGGAACUGCGUCUGAUACUGGAUGGCUUGAGUUCGGGAGAGGGAUGCGGAAUUCCAGGUGUAGCGGUGAAAUGCGUAGAUAUCGAGAGGAACACCGGUGGCGAAGGCGGCGAUCUGGACGAUGACUGACGCUGAGACGCGAAAGCGUGGGGAGCAAACAGG
Molecule: ribosomal RNA, 253 nt
Filed under: uncultured bacterium
Lineage: Bacteria
Description: partial 16S ribosomal RNA
Rfam family: Bacterial small subunit ribosomal RNA
Source: RNAcentral